Molecule: ribosomal RNA, 253 nt
Filed under: uncultured bacterium
Lineage: Bacteria
Description: partial 16S ribosomal RNA
Rfam family: Bacterial small subunit ribosomal RNA
Source: RNAcentral
UACGAGUGCUCCAAGCGUUAUCCGGAAUCAUUGGGCGUAAAGGGUGUGUAGGUGGUUUUCUUAGUCUUCUGUGAAAUUCUUCGGCUCAACCGGGGGCUCGCAGGGGAAACGGGAAAACUUGAGGAUGUGAGAGGUGAAUGGAACUCAUGGUGUAGGGGUGAAAUCCGUUGAUAUCAUGGGGAACACCAAAAGCGAAGGCAAUUCACUGGCACAUUCCUGACACUAAAACACGAAAGCGUGGGUAGCGAAUGGG